ACGUAGGGUGCGAGCGUUGUCCGGAAUUAUUGGGCGUAAAGAGCUUGUAGGCGGUUUGUCGCGUCUGCUGUGAAAUCUCAAGGCUCAACCUUGAGCUUGCAGUGGGUACGGGCAGACUAGAGUGUGGUAGGGGAGACUGGAAUUCCUGGUGUAGCGGUGAAAUGCGCAGAUAUCAGGAGGAACACCGAUGGCGAAGGCAGGUCUCUGGGCCACUACUGACGCUGAGAAGCGAAAGCAUGGGGAGCGAACAGGA
Molecule: ribosomal RNA, 253 nt
Filed under: uncultured prokaryote
Description: partial 16S ribosomal RNA
Rfam family: Bacterial small subunit ribosomal RNA
Source: RNAcentral